AGAGUUUGAUCAUGGCUCAGAACGAACGCUGGCGGCAGGCUUAACACAUGCAAGUCGAACGGGUGUAGCAAUACAUCAGUGGCAGACGGGUGAGUAACACGUGGGAACCUUCCUAGGGGUACGGAACAACUCAGGGAAACUUGAGCUAAUACCGUAUACGUCCGUGAGGAGAAAGAUUUAUCGCCAUUAGAGGGGCCCGCGUCGGAUUAGCUUGUUGGUGAGGUAACGGCUCACCAAGGCGACGAUCCGUAGCUGGUCUGAGAGGAUGAUCAGCCACACUGGGACUGAGAUACGGCCCAGACUCCUACGGGAGGCAGCAGUGGGGAAUAUUGGACAAUGGGGGCAACCCUGAUCCAGCAAUGCCGCGUGAGUGAAGAAGGCCUUAGGGUUGUAAAGCUCUUUCGGCGGGGAAGAUGAUGACGGUACCCGCAGAAGAAGCCCCGGCUAACUUCGUGCCAGCAGCCGCGGUAAUACGAAGGGGGCUAGCGUUGUUCGGAGUUACUGGCGUAAAGGGCGCGUAGGCGGCUUGACAAGUCAGCGUGAAAGCCCCGGCUUAACCCCGGAAUUGCGUUUGAUACUGUCUGGCUHGAGUCCCGGAAGAGGAUGGCGGAAUUCCCAGUGUAGAGGUGAAAUUCGUAGAUAUUGGGAAGAACACCRGUGGCGAAGGCGGCYAWCUGGWCCGGWWCUGACGCUGAGGYGCGAAASSGUGGGGAGCAAACAGGAUUAGAUACCCUGGUAGUCCACGCCGUAAACKAUGRGUGCUAGMYGUCRGSGGGYUYRCUCGCCGGUGUCGCAGCUAACGCDUUAAGCACUCCGCCUGGGGAGUACGGUCGCAAGAUUAAAACUCAAAGGAAUUGACGGGGGCCCGCACAAGCGGUGGAGCAUGUGGUUUAAUUCGAAGCAACGCGAAGAACCUUACCAGCCCUUGACAUGGGGAGUAUGGGUCGCAGAGAUGUGACCCUUCAGUUCGGCUGGCUCCCACACAGGUGCUGCAUGGCUGUCGUCAGCUCGUGUCGUGAGAUGUUGGGUUAAGUCCCGCAACGAGCGCAACCCUCAUCUUCAGUUGCCAUCGGUCAGGCCGGGCACUCUGAAGAAACCGCCGGUGACAAGCCGGAGGAAGGCGGGGAUGACGUCAAGUCCUCAUGGCCCUUACGGGCUGGGCUACACACGUGCUACAAUGGCGGUGACAAUGGGAUGCAAAGGGGCGACCCUGUGCCAAUCUCAAAAAGCCGUCUCAGUUCGGAUUGCACUCUGCAACUCGAGUGCAUGAAGUUGGAAUCGCUAGUAAUCGUGGAUCAGCACGCCACGGUGAAUACGUUCCCGGGCCUUGUACACACCGCCCGUCACACCAUGGGAGUUGGUUCUACCCGAAGCCGGUGCGCUAACCGCAAGGAGGCAGCCGACCACGGUAGGGUCAGCGACUGGGGUGAAGUCGUAACAAGGUAACCGUA
This 1451-nucleotide ribosomal RNA is filed under the name uncultured bacterium. Its description in RNAcentral is "bacterial SSU rRNA". It matches the Rfam family "Bacterial small subunit ribosomal RNA". The record is from RNAcentral.